Molecule: ribosomal RNA, 140 nt
Filed under: uncultured eukaryote
Lineage: Eukaryota
Description: partial 18S ribosomal RNA
Rfam family: Eukaryotic small subunit ribosomal RNA
Source: RNAcentral
UGGUGGAGUGAUUUGUCUGGUUAAUUCCGUUAACGAACGAGACCUCGACCUACUAAAUAGUUUGCCAUACUCUUUGGGUAUGUGUAAGCUUCUUAGAGGGACUAUCGGUUGUUAGCCGAUGGAAGUUCGAGGCAAUAACA